Molecule: ribosomal RNA, 332 nt
Filed under: uncultured bacterium
Lineage: Bacteria
Description: bacterial SSU rRNA
Rfam family: Bacterial small subunit ribosomal RNA
Source: RNAcentral
CACGCAGGCGGUCGUGUAAGUUUGGGGUUACAGCUCCCGGCUCAACUGGGAGAGCGCCUUGAAGACUGCAGGACUUGAGGGCCAGAGAGGGACACAGAAUUCCGGGUGUAGUGGUGAAAUGCGUAGAUAUCCGGAGGAAUACCAAAGGCGAAGGCAGUGUCCUGGCUGGUGACCGACGCUGAGGUGCGAAAGCUAGGGGAGCGAACGGGAUUAGAUACCCCGGUAGUCCUAGCCGUAAACGAUGACCACUAGGUGUGGGAGGUAUCGACCCCUUCCGUGCCGUAGCAAACGUGAUAAGUGGUCCGCCUGGGGAGUACGGUCGCAAGAUUAAA